RNAcentral lists this microRNA precursor (66 nucleotides) under Bombyx mori (domestic silkworm). Its description in RNAcentral is "mir-2774 microRNA precursor family". It matches the Rfam family "mir-2774 microRNA precursor family". Lineage: Eukaryota; Metazoa; Arthropoda; Insecta; Lepidoptera; Bombycidae. The record is from Rfam by way of RNAcentral.
AAAACAAUUUGAUCGUCGGUCUACCGAGCAAUAUCACCCGCUCGGUGAAAGAUUUUAUUCGGUGAU